AGGAGCGUGACCCUGUGGUCCUCACCGAGCUCAACCACCGCACCUGCUCCCUCCCUUCCCCCUUUUAUUCCGCAUCCGAGGCACAGCGAAACCCUAGCGCCAUCUCCCUCUUCCUCCUGCCGCCGCCCCCUCUCUUUUCCCUCUCUUUCUGUGAGGAACACGAACACACCGAGAGCGCCACCGUCACUGCCCGCCAUGGCGCCGCCAGCUCCGUCCACCCCAAGCCUCGCCGCUGCCACCGUUGGAACCGCCUCGUCGCCCUCUACGUUCGGGUGCAAGGAAUCGAGCUAAUACCCUGUAAAUCGAGCGCAGUUUCGCGGAUUCCUUGCGCUGGUCGUCGUCUUUCUUCUUCGAUUCCGGCGAACCUCGGCCUCCCCUGCUUCUUCCGAGCACACGUUGAGCUUCAGGCAGCUCGCCGGCGACCCUCCUCCGGUGGUCCCCCGCUCCCGGCGCCGCCUCCAUCUGGUCCGCGUCGACAAGACGCGUCGUCUGCGCCAAGCCUCGCUUCCUGGGGAGCCCUGCGUCGCCCGCGCGCAACCGUGCUGACCGCGGUGACCACCGCCACGGGAACACGCGCUGGCAUCCCCUUUCCGUCGAGCACCUUCCGUGCGUGCCUGGAUGGUUUGCCACGGUAGCCUCCACGUCAACCCUCGGGCCCCAUCCGUCAUCCUCUCGGGCUAAGCCCAUCCUGGAUCACGAAGUGGUGCUGUGAGAUACGAUGAGUUCUCCGACAAGUUCUUCAGCAGUUUUUCACAGGCGAGCCCACCCCUUCACCUAUUUUACUUUUACAUGCUCUUUUGAUCUAUUGCUAUCCUUGUGUUGCGAUUCUGUUGUGUCACGUGUCCUAUCCACCUGUUACCUAUAUGUCCGAGAUACACCUCCUCGCCCUACCUAUUGUUUGUUGUUUGCCAGCUUUGCGAGUCGUAGGCGAGUUUAGGGUCUUGUUGAUAUCUCGAGAUGUUCGGGAUAUCUUGUUGGGAGGUUAUCACAUGCUAUAUCUUUUGUUGGAGAUAA
This is a non-coding RNA of Lolium perenne, 1014 nucleotides long. Lineage: Eukaryota; Viridiplantae; Streptophyta; Magnoliopsida; Poales; Poaceae. The record is from RefSeq and is a predicted model, not a curated record.